Molecule: long non-coding RNA, 1658 nt
Organism: Erigeron canadensis
Lineage: Eukaryota; Viridiplantae; Streptophyta; Magnoliopsida; Asterales; Asteraceae
Exons: 2
Source: RefSeq, a predicted model, not a curated record
CUCCCCGUGACAAGACAUUUACCUUAGUCAUCGUCAUCCUGUUCCAUGUUAGAGUUUUACAAUUACAAUAUUUGUACUACAUACUAUAGUUUGGUUAGAGUAUAAUUUAUAGGAACAACUAUUACCUCGUCCCACAUCGACCAGAAAAGACUGUUUUAGUUGGUUUAUAAGGCGCAAGGUAAGAACACAUAUCGUCCCUUCGGGGACAUCCGAUAAAAUUGGAACGAUACAGAGAAGAUUAGCAUGGCCCCUGCGCAAGGAUGACACGCACAAAUCGAGAAAUGGUCCAAAUUUUUUUUUUCCUCCGAUCCGAUCUCAUUCAUGCCCAGGAAGGAAAGGGUGGUUAGUUUAAGAAUGCCUUCGGGUUAUGGUCUGUGAUCCGCAUAAUGUUGGUCUUAGCCAGAGCAACAUGAAAGAGAGUUAUUGUAAUAAAGGAGAUGGCUCAAAACAAUGGCAAUUAGAUUGGAGUGUAAGAUUUUUCGGUGUUGAUAUUAUGUUGAAAAGGUUCUACUUAAUGGUAAUGUACAUGGAAUAAGAGGUAAUGUUGAUUAUCGGAUAGGAUCUCUGUUUUUAUGCUUUAACUAUCUUUGAUGACGGAAUUCAUUCCUUUGCAAUUUAUUUGCUAUGUACUGUAAUACCCUUUCAUAGUUUCUUUUGUUCAUCUUUUUGGACUGAUACCUGAUCUUUUUAAAAGUUUUGUGGGUGAUAAAACGAAAAGAAAGUAGAUAAUCAAGAGUUGUUACAUGUUCUUGGAACGUCAGUAUAUGUUUGUGCUUGUGGUGUGUAUCUUUAGCAUAUCAUUUGGCAGGCUAUGGCUUGAUCAUAUGUAGCAAUAUGAAUAGCCCACGACCUUAUAUGUUUCAUGGCGGCAACAUGAGAGGGUCAGGUGGGGUUGGGUAAUGGGUAAAAUGGGUAUUGUUAAAAGCAUGUCAGUUUAUAAAACAGAUCAAAAUGGGAAUGAAUGGGCCGGUAGGUUCAAGUUACCAUGAUUUGGGUAAUAUCUUGAUUCCCUUGAGGUCUUCCGUAGUUACUCAUUCGAGUUACCUUGUUUGGUUGCAGAUUUUAUGUGCGGUAAUUCCUAGUUUUCCUAAUAAGUUUCGCUUCUAUAAUUGCUUUUAUCAUUAGAUAUCUAUGUAUAGGAAGCGCAUAUUGGGUUUACUCAGAAUUUGCUUUUGGAUAACAUUUUUAAACUUAAGCUUUGAGUACUCUAUUCAUCUUUGAGGUUUGAUAACUACAAGACCAAAAUGGUGUGCAUCAAGUGAUCGUCAAAGACUGAGGGCAAUCUGUAAGUAAUAAGCUACUACUUACAUGAUAGAAUAAGAAAUAGAGUCACCAUUCUGAAUAUAAGCCUUUUCAUGUGUUAUGUAAUCAGAAUGAAGAAUCAUAUCAGCUAUGGUUCUAAAUUACUUUUUUUAAGGCACCUAAGUGAUAGAUAAUUGGCUAAUGGCAAUCUGGAACCUGGAUUCACUGUAACAAGAUUGUGGAUAUGUAUAUUAUUGAAUAUGCUUUUAACAACGAUCCAUGUAUUGAUCCCCACCGGUUAGAAUUUAAAAUGCUGCUAAAGCCCUGUUGUAUAUGAUGUCUUUGUAACUUUGUAAUUCAACUUAUUCAAGUGUAUGAUGAAUUUUAAAAUAAUAUUGUUCAGUUACCCUUUUUUU